UCCGGUGGUCAUAGGGGAGGGGAAACACCCGUUCCCAUACCGAACACGGUAGUUAAGCCCUCUUCCGCCGAUGGUACUGCGGAGGCAACUUCGUGGGAGAGUAGGUCGCCGCCGGGA
RNAcentral lists this ribosomal RNA (117 nucleotides) under Acidobacteriota bacterium. RNAcentral also lists the same sequence under 1 other name. Lineage: Bacteria; Pseudomonadati; Acidobacteriota. The record is from RNAcentral.